This 449-nucleotide ribosomal RNA is filed under the name uncultured bacterium. RNAcentral describes it as "bacterial SSU rRNA". It matches the Rfam family "Bacterial small subunit ribosomal RNA", at positions 330 to 793 of the family's 1533-position model. The record is from RNAcentral.
GCCAGACUCCUACGGGAGGCAGCAGUGGGGAAUAUUGGGCAAUGGGCGCAAGCCUGACCCAGCAACGCCGCGUGAAGGAAGAAGGCUUUCGGGUUGUAAACUUCUUUUAAGGGGGAAGAGCAGAAGACGGUACCCCUUGAAUAAGCCACGGCUAACUACGUGCCAGCAGCCGCGGUAAUACGUAGGUGGCAAGCGUUGUCCGGAUUUACUGGGUGUAAAGGGCGUGCAGCCGGGAAGACAAGUCAGAUGUGAAAUCCCGCGGCUCAACCGCGGAACUGCAUUUGAAACUGUUUUUCUUGAGUAUCGGAGAGGUAAUCGGAAUUCCUAGUGUAGCGGUGAAAUGCGUAGAUAUUAGGAAGAACACCAGUGGCGAAGGCGGAUUACUGGACGACAACUGACGGUGAGGCGCGAAAGCGUGGGGAGCAAACAGGAUUAGAUACCCCAGUACG